GACGAACGCUGGCGGCGUGCUUAACACAUGCAAGUCGAACGGAAAGGCCCUGCUUUUGUGCGGUGCUCGGGUUGCGACCGGGUGAGUAACCCGUGAGUAACCUACCCUUGACUUUGGGAUAACUUCAGGCAACUGGGGCUAAUCCCGGAUAGGAGCUCCUGCUGUAUGGUGGGGGUUGGAUAGUUUCGGUGGUUGGGGAUGGACUCGCGUCUCAUCAGCUUGUUGGUGGGGUAGUGGAAUACCAAGGCUUGGACGGGUAGCCGGGCUGAGAGGGUGACCGGACACAUUGGGACUGAGAUGCGGCACAGACUCCUACGGGAGGCAGCAGAGCGGAAUAGUGUACUAGGGGCGGAAGGAUGAUGCAGCAAAGCCGCGCGGGGGAUGACGGCAAGCGGGUUGUAAUCCGAAGUCGCUUGUGACGAAGCGAGAGUGACGGUAAUGGGUAAAGAAGCACCGGCUAACUACGUG
This 468-nucleotide ribosomal RNA is filed under the name uncultured bacterium. RNAcentral's name for it is "partial 16S ribosomal RNA". It matches the Rfam family "Bacterial small subunit ribosomal RNA", at positions 28 to 507 of the family's 1533-position model. The record is from RNAcentral.